Molecule: long non-coding RNA, 689 nt
Organism: Bombus huntii
Lineage: Eukaryota; Metazoa; Arthropoda; Insecta; Hymenoptera; Apidae
Exons: 2
Source: RefSeq, a predicted model, not a curated record
CCCGUAUCAUUUAAAUCAGACAGUUGCUUGCAGCGAUUUGUCAUCUGAACAGAUACAUCAAGUAGGUUAUUAAGCUGAUUGUGAGCUAGAUUAGUAUGAUAAAUCAUCAAAUCAGCCAUAACUUCAAUCAAAUUAGGUACUGAACACACAAAAAAUGCCUAUUAUAAAAUUAUGAAAAGUUCAUAAUUUUUAUUACUGAAAAGAUUUCCGCAGUCGACAAAUUUAUCUUUCAGUAUAGAAUUAACUGCAUUGGACGUACUCUUUGCUUUCGCUUCAUAUUUAUUAUAAAUUGUACACAAAAUACAAGUCUCGCAGGAAGUAUGUUGAAUAUAGAGAUUCACCGAAAUAAAAUAUAAUACUGACAAAAGUAAAUAUAAAAAAAGUGUUCAAAAAGUACUGAUCUUACAUACUAUUUGAGAAGAUACAAUAAUAUCAAAGAGUGGAAUGUCUUCUACAAAUGUUAAAAUACUUUCAAGAAACAAAUCAUGUUUUAACUAUUUUAACUAAAAAUAUCUCAAUUUUAGCUUCAAACAUUAUAACUAAUAUGUUCUCCUUUUGCAUAAUGAGAUGCAUGUUUUUUUUUUGUUUCUUUUUUUUGCCCCCAAUCUGAUAUUAAACAUUCACCAAUUAAUUUGGCUUUAACCAAUGGUAAUUACACAUUAUGGACGGCACACAGAUACAAGUUCACG